GGACUACAAGGGUUUCUAAUCCUGUUUGCUCCCCACGCUUUCGCGUCUCAGCGUCAGUAAUCUUCCAGGUGGCCGCCUUCGCCACAGGUGUUCCUCCCGAUAUCUACGAAUUUCACCUCUACACCGGGAAUUCCGCCACCCCCUCCGAUACUCUAGCCUAGUAGUUUUGAAUGCAGUUCCUCGGUUAAGCCGAGGGAUUUCACACCCAACUUGCUAGGCCGCCUACACGCGCUUUACGCCCAGUAAUUCCGAACAACGCUUGCACCCUCUGUAUUACCGCGGCUGCUGGCAC
Molecule: ribosomal RNA, 292 nt
Filed under: uncultured bacterium
Lineage: Bacteria
Description: partial 16S ribosomal RNA
Source: RNAcentral